Molecule: non-coding RNA, 3254 nt
Organism: Cyanistes caeruleus (blue tit)
Lineage: Eukaryota; Metazoa; Chordata; Aves; Passeriformes; Paridae
Source: RefSeq, a predicted model, not a curated record
CUCUGCAGCAGGGUAAUACAGUACCUGUUUUAUUGCUGACGUGUUUCAGUUAUUUUAAACACUUUUUCCUGGAGCAGAUCUAUUAAAGAAGCAUUUUCCAGUAUUAUUGCAGUUUCUUCCUCUGUACAGUUGCCUGGGACCUCUGCAUAGAUCUUCAGUGGACUUCUCUUUCGACAACCAAAGUCAAGAUUCCUUUAGAACCCCAGAAAGAACAACCCCCCUUCAUGUAUAAUAACAAGCUUUAUAUAAAGAGUAAUUGUAUCCAGAGAUCACCAUCUUCUGAAGCAGUAGCUCCCACAGCCCCUCACUGGACUCACAGCCUGGAAGCCUCUGUCCAUGCUUCCUUGAUGGAGAAAGGAUGAAGAGACACCUCUCUCUGAAGACCAGCAGCCUGCAGGAGAAGGGACAUGGAUAAUUUUUCUUUCUUUUCUUAAGUCACUGUGUAGGCCAUAAUACAAGUUUGAAGGCUGGCCCCAGUGCCCCAUAGAGCACAGCUAAAAAUCCCAUUUCUUGAUGCAGACAUGUGCACGAGUUCCUAAUCCUGUUUCACAAGAAAAAAUAGAGUAAUGAUGUGAUACUUCUGUGCUGCCCUGAGGAAAAAUUCUGUGAACAUGCCUUCUAAUCUCUCGAACUGAAGUGAGUCUGUCCUGGAAACUUCAGCACGCUUCCAAGAGAAGUGUCAUCCUAGGUAACAGUGGUUUCUUUCCAAGACACUUGUUCCUCUGGGUACAGUUGCUAUUUGUAAAUGAUUCAGACUAAUGUCUCAUAGUCUGCAGGAACCUUCAGUCGUGACACAGAGGGCAGCUGUGCUAACCUUGCUUUAUCCUCGGGGGUUUGGGGCAAGGCAGCUCUUGGACUCAUUGGUGUCACUGAGCUUUAGGCCUCCGUGUCACAGGGAUGAUACUGUUCUUUUUGAGGUGGGAAUAUGUCAUGCAGUGGGUAUUCUGGUGUUGGGUGUAGUAGUUUUUGAUGAACAUUUUGCCAUAAAUUAGACUAAAUGAGUGGGAAUCGAUUUCUGAUUUAAGGCACCUGAAGUUUCCCUCAGUAGCAAAGCUCACUCCAGAGAUGGCAAAUCAUGUCUCCUUUCAGAGACAUGAAGCAUAUUUCAGUAAGUACACAUUACAUAACUUGUCCCACAUUUCUUUCUCUUUUUAGCAUCCCAGUGUUAUGAAAAAUUAUGUUCCCAUUAAUCAUUAUAGCCACUCAUAUUUUUCUGUGAAAAUAAAUCACCGUCCUCUGCCCUUCCUGCACAGGAACAUAUUUAAAUCAAAACAAAGAUACGUCCACGAUUGGUUCAGGGAAGGGAGUGUCGGCUAAUGUGGCUUUGCUGCUGCAGAAGGAUGAAAGCAGGAUUUGUCUCUGUACUCAGUGGAUUGCAAUGCUGUGUGGUAGUGUCACUUGCCAAAUAAGAUUUCCCCUUUAGCACAUGCAGAGCCCGCUUGAAUGUCAGUGGAAACAGCGUGCACUCAGUGCGGGGGGACCUGCAGCUGAGUCCUGGGGGUAACGUUGAACCUGCUGCCUAUUUUGUUCUUCCUACAUCUGAAAACAUUUGGGCUGGAAAAGCUAGAAAGCACCUAUACUACUGGGAGAAACCAGCAGGCCUCUAAAUUCCUGACUUAGAUUGUCACCAGCUUUAUUGAGACUGUGUUUAGAAAGCAUUUAAAUCUAGGUGUCCAAAAUUGCAUAUGCAGCACCAUAUGCAGGCUACAGAGCAGGGGGCUGAUUUUAAGACAUGAUGGGCAUUUAGGCAUUUACUGUUUUCAGAUCUCAGGGCUUCUGAAAAGACAUUUUUAUUUACAUGUUUUGAACGUGAAUUUAGGGACUUACCUUAUGCAGCAGUGUAAAUAGAGAGGCUAGGCUAUUUUUAGAUUUCACAAUGCGAUACUGGGCAAAAGGACUUUUGAAGCAGAGAUGGCUGGUUACCAAACCACAAACUUGGACCAACAUUUUUCAGAACUGUCUCUUUCUCUUUAUUCAGGACACAUGAAAACCUAGGGAGUAAGUUAAAGGCUAGUUGUAGAUGAUUCUCAGGGAACAGAUCCUCUACUGGGAAGUCAGUUUUCUCCAGCGAAGAGAUCUGAGGAAAAUUCACCCUUAGGACGGACUGAGUUUUCUUUUAAGUGUAUAUAAGAUAAUUCUGUAUUAGUUGUACAAGGGAAAUUAGUUCUUUAUUUGUCCUCUGAAGAGAGAGAAAUUUGCUUUGGUCUUUUGGAAGAGCACAUGCUGUAUUUUGGAAAAUGAAUAUGCAAUACAAUAAAGACAGAAAUUUUAGUGCAAAAUGAAUCAGUUUCAUUCAGACAAUUGAAUAUUUAAGAAUCAAGCUUUUCUGUUGACCUGUUCAAUUUUGGCUGAGAAAUUAAAUCCUUACACAGUGAAGGUAGUAGAAAUAAAGAUGUCAUCCAAAUAAACUCUGGUCAUCUUCAGCUGACAAUCAUGCAACCAAAGAAAGGGAUGUUCCUCUUGCAACCAUGCAAUAUUUGCUGACCUUGGAGGCAUUGGGUGUCAUUUAACAACCAGGCUUGUGAGGCAGGGACACCUGGACGUGUUUUAGAAGCUUUCAGAUAUUAUUUGUUUAAUAAAGUCACAGAAUAAUUAUUUAUUAGUAAGGGGAUAGUUCUAAAGCUCUAAGUCUGGCAUUUGUGAAGGUUCUUCUAUAGGUGUUUUCCACAGGCACUCAGCAGAGAAGAUGUAGGGUGUAUUGCUGUUGUGGUUUUUUCCCAAUAAUCAGAAAUGAGAUGUAGGCCUCACUUCUAAGCUUAUGGUCUGGCUGAACUUGUUUUCUGUUUGGUAUUUUCAUUAUCAAGGAAGGCUCAGAGUUUCUCUCUUGUCACUAUUAAUUUUGCUGAGGGAAAAGACAGGUCUUUGUUCACCACCAAAGUGGUCUCCUUGUGGAAAAAAUCCAACAUGGACAAAAAUUCAACACUAUUGCCACCAUUGAAACAACACAAACUACCAAUUUGAUUUUGGGCAGGUUUUUUUUCCUUGUCUCACAUGUAGGGAACUAAUUUCUGCAGUCAGUAAUGCAAAUUGUUAGCAGCCAUCUUUAGUGAAUUUUCCCUGAGAGGUAUGGAUAAUGUUGCUGCUCUGCUUUGUGGCAUUUCCAGUGUCUGGGUAUUUUCUGGUGAUGCCAUUAACUUUGAAGUUAAUUAGAAUACUUCAUGGCUGAAAUGUAGAGUUCGGCAGAUAUUCUAAGUUGGCAGUGGUGAGUUAGAAGUAUCAUUUCUUUGUUGCUCUGUCAUCAAGACAAGUCAUGA